CCUACGGGUGGCAGCAGUGAGGAAUAUUGGUCAAUGGACGAGAGUCUGAACCAGCCAAGUAGCGUGAAGGAUGACUGCCCUAUGGGUUGUAAACUUCUUUUAUAUGGGAAUAAAACAGGGUAUGCAUACCCUCUUGUAUGUACCAUAUGAAUAAGGAUCGGCUAACUCCGUGCCAGCAGCCGCGGUAAUACGGAGGAUCCGAGCGUUAUCCGGAUUUAUUGGGUUUAAAGGGAGCGUAGGUGGAUGGUUAAGUCAGUGGUGAAAUUUUGCGGCUCAACCGUAAAAUUGCCGUUGAAACUGGUAGUCUUGAGAGGAGUAGCGGUGGGCGGAAUGCGUGGUGUAGCGGUGAAAUGCUUAGAGAUCACGAAGAACACCGAUUGCGAAGGCAGCUCACUGGACUACAACUGACACUGAUGCUCGAAAGUGUGGGUAUCAAACAGGAUUAGAUACCCCAGUAGUC
RNAcentral lists this ribosomal RNA (460 nucleotides) under uncultured bacterium. RNAcentral's name for it is "partial 16S ribosomal RNA". It matches the Rfam family "Bacterial small subunit ribosomal RNA", at positions 338 to 795 of the family's 1533-position model. The record is from RNAcentral.